UAGUCCACGCCGUAAACGAUGAUCACUCGAUGUUGGCGAUACACAGUCAGCGUCCAAGCGAAAGUGAUAAGUGAUCCACCUGGGGAGUACGAUCGCAAGGUUGAAACUCAAAGGAAUUGACGGGGGCCCGCACAAGCGGAGGAACAUGUGGUUUAAUUCGAUGAUACGCGAGGAACCUUACCUGGGCUCAAAUGUAUAGUGACAGUCUCGGAAACGAGAUUUUUCUUCGGAACAUUAUACAAGGUGCUGCAUGGUUGUCGUCAGCUCGUGCCGUGAGGUGUCGGGUUAAGUCCCAUAACGAGCGCAACCCCUAUUCUUAGUUGCCAGCAUGUAAUGAUGGGGACUCCAAGGAAACUGCCUACGCAAGUAGCGAGGAAGUGGGGAUGACGUCAAAUCAGCACGGCCCUUAUGUCCAGGGCUACACACGUGUUACAAUGGUCGGUACAGAGGGCAGCCACUUGGUGACAAGGAGCUAAUCUCGAAAAUCGGUCUCAGUUC
This 498-nucleotide ribosomal RNA is filed under the name uncultured bacterium. RNAcentral describes it as "bacterial SSU rRNA". It matches the Rfam family "Bacterial small subunit ribosomal RNA", at positions 791 to 1294 of the family's 1533-position model. The record is from RNAcentral.